Long non-coding RNA from Spinacia oleracea (spinach), 1437 nucleotides. RefSeq lists it as uncharacterized. Lineage: Eukaryota; Viridiplantae; Streptophyta; Magnoliopsida; Caryophyllales; Amaranthaceae. The transcript has 3 exons. The record is from RefSeq and is a predicted model, not a curated record.
AAUCGAGGGAGAGCAGCCAUAAGAGAUAGAUGGGGAGGCAGCGGAGCAGGGUUUGCAACGCAGGUUCAUGGCGGCCUUGUUGCGCCAAUAGUUAUUGUUGUGUCCAGAGGGGCUCAUUGUCACUUCAAAUCCAGAGAAGUCUAAAUCUUCACUAAAACCUGACAGUGAGACUUAAUCUUAUGGCUAAUCUCCCUAAUCUCCAACAUCAGCCUCCUCAUUCUUCUUUUCUAUCAGAUUAUUUCCAAUUUCUCUAAACCCCAAUUCUCUAUUUUUUAUGUUUUACCCAAUUUUUCUUUAAUGUUGAAGCUUGUUUGAUAAUGUUGUUAAUUUCUGAUUUUUGCAGCUGAUAUGUUUGUUGGAUUUGGAGGCUGAUUACAUGAAUCCCUUUGAAACGUAGGUAAAUAUCAAUAAUUGUGAUAUGGGUUAAGUUAUGUUUAUAUGUUUAUUGAUUUUGCUUUUACAUUGAGAAUUUGAGUUGAAAACUUCCCAAUAUUUGUUUUGAAUUUGUGACCUAUGUCAAGAGUAAAGUUUUAUGAUAACAGAACUAGAAAAGUUCUGAACAUUGUCUAUUAUAUAAUGUUAAGAUAGUGUAAAUGACCACAACCUAGGAAAAGGAAUUGUUCUUGUUGUCUUCAGUUUAUUGUUUGCAUAAAUGGCCAAAUUAUAAAUAUUAUGACAUUUGAUUUCAUUGGUUCCCUACUGUUGUUUCGCAGAUUUCUUGUUUGAGCUUACCCUGAACUAUUUUACUCAUCAACCCAAUAGAGCCAGAGUUUUAAAGGAAAGAUAGCUUUUUAUCUUAUCUUAUUUAUUUUCUUAUAAUAUUCUGCGAACGUUUAUUCCAUAAUCAAAUAAUUGAUUAACUAUCUCCUUUUUAUAAGUAAAUGUGCUAUGGAGGCCGUGCCGGCCAAUGUUCUAAAUGUUGCAACUUCUGUAUCUAUAUACUCUAAUGUUACUAACUUGCUAUACAUGCAGUGAAACUUUCAUGGGAGGAUUGUAAUGGAGACCUGAAAUAACUACUCAUUUGUGUCAUACUCCCCUUAUAUCUCCUAUUAGCCAAUAAAUGUACUUUAACUAAUUAGUAGGCUGGUCAAGUGUUGAUGAUGGAAUCUCAUUUGCUAAUAUAGGUCGAUGAUGGAAUCUCAUUUGCUAAUCUCAUUUAUGUCAUUUUGUGGUGAUAAUCAAGUACUCCUUAAUACUCACUACUGAGGUCAAGAUCAGUGUUGGAAGUGCUAAGGUGAAGUGAAGACUAUGACGUCAUUGCAGUUGGAAAGAAGUACACUGAUUGAAGGGGUGUCUUCAAAAUAUUGGCUGGUAAACGCUGUAGCUAUUAUAGCGUUCUUACCAUUCAUUUCUGAAGAUUGCUGGUUAGGAUUGUCCAUUUGGAAGAUACAAAAAGUACUUUUUUUAUUGGGUUUAUUUAGGUGAAUUGGAACGGGA